This 1463-nucleotide long non-coding RNA is filed under the name Homo sapiens (human). RNAcentral describes it as "non-protein coding lnc-EPHA1-1:3". Lineage: Eukaryota; Metazoa; Chordata; Mammalia; Primates; Hominidae. The record is from RNAcentral.
GGGAGAGCGGGGAAGGGCGGACCAGGCAGGAAACUCCCCCAGGAAGGGGCCCUGAUCCUGCCUCAGGCCGGAGGCUCCGCCGAGGUCCGCUCGCCCCCACCCCACUCACUGCCGCCCCCGCCGCCCCAGCCCGGCUCAGACCCCCACUCCCUGAGCACAGGCCUCUGAUGUCAUUUCCUGACCUGCCUCCCCCUCCCCGCCCGACCCGCGGGUGCCCGAGAUCUGACUCACCGUCCCCCUCCGGGCUUAGCCGGCGGAGGUGGGGCGGGUGCCGCCGAGGUAGCCACGCAGCCCCUGUGCGCCUCCGGCCCGGCCCAGCGACCUCCUCUCGGGCCUGCCGUUACCCGGUCCCCUCCUGCCACCACCCGCUACCCGGCCACCCCGAGUCCGCCUGGGGUGGCCGAACGUAUGGAGCUGGGCUCCAGGGUGCACGGGGAUGGGGGGUGAGGAGCGGGGCGUUCUCCCUCCCAGCACCCCCCAGCUGACUCUGUGCCCGGAGGGGGUGUGUGAGCCGGAACCUCCAGCAUUCUUGGGGAUACGAACUUCCAACGCUGGGCAGCCUCUUAAGGCUUCUAGGAAUUCGCAUCCCCAGCGCCCCAGCCAGCAGAUCGGUUGCGAGAGGGACCGUUCGGGUCCGCGGGGCCGGGAAUGGAGGUGGGAGGGCGGGGCCGAGGCGGCGGCCGCCUGCGGACUGGAGACCCGGGAGGACGGACGCGGACGCGGGCUGCUCGUCUUUUACGGCCCUUCAACGCCCACCACGACCCACUCCUCUUGGAGACCCCGGGCGACGGUGGGGCUCUUGGGCAUUCUGAGACUGCGCUUGGUGGAGACCCCGGGCGACGGUGGAGCUCUUGGGCAUUCUGAGACUGCGCUUGGUGGAGCCCCCUACUGGCCAGACUGGAUUUCUCAGCCUGCGACUCAGCCCCAGGCUACACGAAAGAAGCCAGACCUGGGUAAUUCUUCUAGUUCUUUUUUUUUUUUUUUUUAAUUGCACUGGGAAACUUCCCCAAUCUCGGCCCCAGUUCUUUCUCCAAACUAAGGAGUCAUGGCCUUUCGCCCGCUAGUCCAGUAUGCACCCGUAGGCGCUUCAUUUUCUCUCCUCUUGUCAGCUUUUACUGCCUCCUGAGGCCUUCGUCUUGUUCACACUGAGUGUCCAGUCCCUCCAAAUCCGGCUACACUCUACUGGCAAGGAGCACCUGGGCCAUGUUUUAGAGAUCAUCCGAGGACUAACCCCAAAAGUUUAUGAAGAGAAAGCAGAGGCCGAGCUGAAGAGAUGGACCCGGGUCACACCCAGGUAAAGGCAGGAUCUAAACUGAAACUGGUGUCAGAUCUGGUUGCCUUGCACCCCUGAUAUCAGGUGAAGCAACACUGGGCAGGAUAGAGCAGAGUGAGGUCAGAGUGUGAAGAUCCAGCCUGAUGCCCAAACUGACGCCUCUUCAUUCUCCCCUGCUCCAUCUGUAAAC